This 500-nucleotide ribosomal RNA is filed under the name uncultured bacterium. Its description in RNAcentral is "partial 16S ribosomal RNA". It matches the Rfam family "Bacterial small subunit ribosomal RNA", at positions 30 to 523 of the family's 1533-position model. The record is from RNAcentral.
AUUGAACGCUGGCGGCAUGCUUUACACAUGCAAGUCGAACGGUAACAGGGUGCUUGCACCGCUGACGAGUGGCGAACGGGUGAGUAAUGCGUAGGAACGUGCCGAGUAGUGGGGGAUAACGCAGCGAAAGUUGUGCUAAUACCGCAUACGUACUGAGGUAGAAAGUGGGGGACCUUCGGGCCUCACGCUAUUCGAGCGGCCGACGUCUGAUUAGCUAGUAGGUGAGGUAAAGGCUCACCUAGGCGACGAUCAGUAGCGGGUCUGAGAGGAUGAUCCGCCACACUGGGACUGAGACACGGCCCAGACUCCUACGGGAGGCAGCAGUGGGGAAUUUUGGACAAUGGGCGAAGGCCUGAUCCAGCCAUGCCGCGUGUCUGAAGAAGGCCUUCGGGUUGUAAAGGACUUUUGUCAGGGAGGAAAUCCCUAGUGCUAAUAACACUGGGGGAUGACAGUACCUGAAGAAUAAGCACCGGCUAACUACGUGCCAGCCGCCGCAGUAA